AUGAGGUCUGGAUGUUUUCUCAAUGUUGGGAUGAACGCCUCACUUCACUACACCAGAUUACACUGCAAGGCUGCUGGUAACUCAAUUGGAAUAUACUUUGGACCUGAGAAGGCCACCAUAAUAAACACAUAUGCUGUGAUGAAAUCUGGUAUGAAAAACCUCGACGAAAGUGGCAAUAAUGGUGCAAUCAGUAGCCAGAAAGCACAAAAGCGCCUUUGGGUAAACACGGAUUCAUCUCAUGUUAGUUCAGAGGAUGGCCCUAUCGACCAUGAUGUUGACCAUUGCAACAAUGAAAGCGGCAAUGAUGAGGAGAACAUUGGUGGUAACAAUAACAAUUGUGGCUUCAAUCCUGAUGGUGUCUCCCGAGAAGGAUCUCACUAG
RNAcentral lists this ribosomal RNA (381 nucleotides) under Triticum aestivum (bread wheat). Its description in RNAcentral is "partial small subunit ribosomal RNA". Lineage: Eukaryota; Viridiplantae; Streptophyta; Magnoliopsida; Poales; Poaceae. The record is from RNAcentral.